This is a long non-coding RNA of Gadus macrocephalus (Pacific cod), 1429 nucleotides long. RefSeq lists it as uncharacterized. NCBI's taxonomy places the organism in Eukaryota, Metazoa, Chordata, Actinopteri, Gadiformes, Gadidae. The record is from RefSeq and is a predicted model, not a curated record. The transcript has 3 exons.
AAUUGUGUCUUCCACGAAUUUUAGCAAACAGAAAGUUGAAAUGCUACGUAUUGCUGAUAUGGGUGGUUUGAGAUUUAGUGUCAAACAGCCUAUUCUUUCAGCAAGUACAAAUAAAAGUAUUCAUUUGCCAUGGAAUCAUGAAUUAUGAUGCAGAAAAUUUCCAAAAAUUUACUUACUCAAGAUAUUGGGUGUUACUGUAUGGAAGGAACUAAAUUAACUUUUCCACAUUUACAAUUUGACUGCAAUUGUGCCUAUGUGGUAAAGCAAGUAUGGCAGGGCAUCUUCUUUGUGUAGAGGUGUCAAGCGCUACGUCAUCGCCAUUAUAUCAUCACAUGAUAGGAACCGCAGGUUCAGGUUCGGCAGAAGUUUUGAGUCUCAUCCCAGGGGCUUUGUGUGGAAAGUCACAGUCUUAAACUUGAUAGCUUUCCUAAUCCUGAUCCUCUGAUGCACACCCUGGAGUGUUUGUUACGUAAUUUCUUGUUUUUCAGCAUUAGCCACAAUAAGUGGCUCCUUCACCCGUUUGUGGAGAAAUAUUCAAAAGUAAUUGUUAUUCAAUCAAUUUCAGACGUAAUUUCUCUUAUAGAUAACUUAAAUUUAAUAAUUUUAAAUUUGAGACAACCAUGAGCAUUCUAAAAUUACAUGCACAUAAAUAAUUUAUUUUGAUGUUUCCGUCACUUACAUGUCAGUUUCUGUUGAGCAAACCUAACCCAAAGGGCUAUGAAUCUCUCACUAUUCAAUAAACCUUUACAAAAGAUCACCUGCUCUCUCUAUUUUUGGGUCUGUUGGGUGGACAUUGGGCUCAGUCUGUGUCGUCUGGGGUGACCAUCGGUAACCCGAGGGCUCGUGACACCACGUAUAACUUUCCCUCCCGCUCCAUCUCUCCUCGCACACGCCUAGACAGGCCAAACAAUGGGAGUCCAUAUGCCCCAAGUGCUUCAAAUGUGGAUUAGCAAAGGACUACUACCAUGAACUCAGUCUGGGCAUAUGCAAUCGCAGUGGGUCUGCAUCUAUUCAUCCAGAGUGCAACGGCAAACAAACUGGUUUGUUAUUUCACCAAGUGGUCGCAGUACAGAACCGGUGUGGGGAGAUACCUGCCGGGGGACAUAGACCCUUGGCUCUGCACACACCUGGUCUACGCCUUCGCAGUGGUCAAUUAUGCCAACGAGAUCACAGAAAACGAGUGGAAUGAACACACACUCUACAGGCAGUUCAAUGAGCUCAAAAACAGGUACGCCAAUUGUUCAUGGUGGACAAUCCAACAUACAAAAUAUUAAUAUUUGUUUUACUUAUAAGUGAGGAAUGCAAUGCGCACCAAUAUUGUGUUCAAUUUAGUCUCGUGAUUCUCAUGUAUUCAGCCAGAAGUAAACAAAUGCCAAAAAAACAUGAAACUCAAUAAAAACACAAUUUAAUCCCAACAAAGUGGGGAAAG